AUGAUGGAGGACUCCAGGGACUGGAACAUGGAACUGAUAGACCAAAUAUUCAACAAAUUUGAUGCGGAAGAGAUUGAGAAAAUAAGAAUCCCAGGUCGUGAGGUGGAGGAUGUGAUAGCCUGGCACUAUGAGAAUACUGGUAUUUUCACGGUCAAAAGUGCACAUAAACUGGCUUACAGAAUCAGCCGGAACUACAAUACUGGAGCUUCCUCUUCGGCAAAUGAGGUAGGAGAUAGAUGCAUAUGGGACAUCAUUUGGAAGGCAAAAGUCCCUCAAAAGAUUAAGGUGUUCGGAUGGCGUGCAGCCACACAGUCAUUGGCCACUAAGCAUAAUGCUUUUAGGCGUACAAUUGCCAUCGAUAAUACCUGUGAUCUUUGCGGGAAUGGAGUAGAGGAUGAGUAUCACGCUCGCAUCGCUUGCACAAGAAGCAGGGCCUUGAGGCAUGAACUAAGGUCGGUCUGGGAUUUACCAAAAGAAGAAGCCUUUAGGGAUAGUGGAGAUCUUUGGUUUCAAAUGCUGCUGGGCACGCAAAGCGAGGCAACCAAACGGAGGAUCCUACUUAUGUGUUGGCAGGCAUGGAAUCUGCGUAACAAUGUGAUUCACGAUUCUGGGAAGGAGACUGUGACUGGAUCGAUGCGUCUUCUAGUCAGAUAUGAAACUGAAUUUUUGGAGGCCCAGACAGUCACUGAAAUUGAAGCAGGGGGGAAAGCAGAGAAUGACCGGGCUGGACACAGCCUUGGUGCCUCUCCCAAGCACUGGUCUCCGCCGGCCCCUGGGUGGGCAAAGCUAAAUUCGGAUGCAGCCUUUUUAGCAGACACAGGUGACAGCUGGGGCGGUGUUGUGGCCCGCGACCCCCAGGGUCUGGUCUUUUUCUCAGUUUGCCAACACCUGAAAAAAUGCAGCUCAGUAGAGGAGGCUGAGGCAGGAGCUAUCCUUUGUGGUCUGAAGGAACUUGCAAAGAGAUACAAUAGAAGAAUCAUAUUGGAGACUGAGAACGCUUCAGUUGGUAGAGAGCUGAGAAGCACCACAGUUGGAAUUUCAAAAUGCUACCCCAUACUGACGGACAUCAGGCAAACACUGGAACAUUUUGCUGAUUACCAUAUUAGUGUGGUUGGGAGGAAGCUCAACAAACUGGCUCAUGAGCUAGCUUUCCUAGCGAGAACAACAGGCAACCAUGCUCUAGCUGGGUCAGUCCUGGAGAAUCUUAAAGAUCUGUUUCUAGCUGAGUGUAAUCCUACCCAUUGA
This 1245-nucleotide ribosomal RNA is filed under the name Triticum aestivum (bread wheat). RNAcentral's name for it is "partial small subunit ribosomal RNA". Lineage: Eukaryota; Viridiplantae; Streptophyta; Magnoliopsida; Poales; Poaceae. The record is from RNAcentral.